GAUGAACGCUGGCGGUAUGCUUAACACAUGCAAGUCGAACGGACUCUUCGGAGUUAGUGGCGGACGGGUGAGUAACGCGUGAGAAUCUGGCUUUGGGUUCGGGACAACCACUGGAAACGGUGGCUAAUACCGGAUGUGCCGAGAGGUAAAAGAGAAAUUGCCUGAAGAUGAGCUCGCGUCUGAUUAGCUAGUUGGUGAGGUAAAGGCUCACCAAGGCAGCGAUCAGUAGCUGGUCUGAGAGGAUGACCAGCCACACUGGGACUGAGACACGGCCCAGACUCCUACGGGAGGCAGCAGUGGGGAAUUUUCCGCAAUGGGCGAAAGCCUGGCGGAGCAAUACCGCGUGAGGGAAGAAGGCUCUUGGGUUGUAAACCUCUUUUCUUAGGGAAGAACAAAAUGACGGUACCUAAGGAAUCAGCAUCGGCUAACUCCGUG
This 435-nucleotide ribosomal RNA is filed under the name uncultured bacterium. Its description in RNAcentral is "partial 16S ribosomal RNA". It matches the Rfam family "Bacterial small subunit ribosomal RNA", at positions 28 to 507 of the family's 1533-position model. The record is from RNAcentral.